This 1649-nucleotide ribosomal RNA is filed under the name Listeria monocytogenes. RNAcentral's name for it is "partial 23S ribosomal RNA". It matches the Rfam family "Bacterial large subunit ribosomal RNA", at positions 415 to 2062 of the family's 2925-position model. Lineage: Bacteria; Bacillati; Bacillota; Bacilli; Caryophanales; Listeriaceae. The record is from RNAcentral.
CGGCGGAACACGUGAAAUUCCGUCGGAAUCCGGGAGGACCAUCUCCCAAGGCUAAAUACUCCCUAGUGACCGAUAGUGAACCAGUACCGUGAGGGAAAGGUGAAAAGCACCCCGGAAGGGGAGUGAAACAGUUCCUGAAACCGUGUGCCUACAAGUAGUUAGAGCCCGUUAAUGGGUGAUAGCGUGCCUUUUGUAGAAUGAACCGGCGAGUUACGAUUUGUUGCAAGGUUAAGCGGAAAAAGCGGAGCCGUAGCGAAAGCGAGUCUGAAUAGGGCGCAUAAGUAACAGGUCGUAGACCCGAAACCAGGUGAUCUACCCAUGUCCAGGAUGAAGGUAAGGUAAUACUUACUGGAGGUCCGAACCCACGCACGUUGAAAAGUGCGGGGAUGAGGUGUGGGUAGCGGAGAAAUUCCAAUCGAACUUGGAGAUAGCUGGUUCUCUCCGAAAUAGCUUUAGGGCUAGCCUCGAGGUAAAGAGUCAUGGAGGUAGAGCACUGUUUGGACUAGGGGCCCUUCUCGGGUUACCGAAUUCAGAUAAACUCCGAAUGCCAUGUACUUAUACUCGGGAGUCAGACUGCGAGUGAUAAGAUCCGUAGUCGAAAGGGAAACAGCCCAGACCACCAGUUAAGGUCCCCAAAUAUAUGUUAAGUGGAAAAGGAUGUGGGGUUGCUUAGACAACCAGGAUGUUGGCUUAGAAGCAGCCACCAUUGAAAGAGUGCGUAAUAGCUCACUGGUCGAGUGACCCCGCGCCGAAAAUGUACCGGGGCUAAACAUAUUACCGAAACUGUGGAUGAACCUCUUUAGAGGUUCGUGGUAGGAGAGCGUUCUAAGGGCGGUGAAGUCAGACCGGAAGGACUGGUGGAGCGCUUAGAAGUGAGAAUGCCGGUAUGAGUAGCGAAAGAAGGGUGAGAAUCCCUUCCACCGAAUAUCUAAGGUUUCCUGAGGAAGGCUCGUCCGCUCAGGGUUAGUCGGGACCUAAGCCGAGGCCGAUAGGCGUAGGCGAUGGACAACAGGUAGAGAUUCCUGUACCAGUGCUAAUUGUUUAACCGAUGGGGUGACACAGAAGGAUAGGGAAUCGCACGAAUGGAAAUGUGCGUCCAAGCAGUGAGUGUGAGAAGUAGGCAAAUCCGCUUCUCGCGAAGCAUGAGCUGUGAUGGGGAAGGAAAUUAAGUACGGAAGUUCCUGAUUUCACGCUGUCAAGAAAAGCCUCUAGGAAGAGUAGUACUGCCCGUACCGCAAACCGACACAGGUAGAUGAGGAGAGAAUCCUAAGGUGAGCGAGAGAACUCUCGUUAAGGAACUCGGCAAAAUGACCCCGUAACUUCGGGAGAAGGGGUGCUCUAUUAGGGUGCAAGCCCGAGAGAGCCGCAGUGAAUAGGCCCAGGCGACUGUUUAGCAAAAACACAGGUCUCUGCAAAACCGUAAGGUGACGUAUAGGGGCUGACGCCUGCCCGGUGCUGGAAGGUUAAGAGGAGUGCUUAGCUUCGGCGAAGGUACGAAUUGAAGCCCCAGUAAACGGCGGCCGUAACUAUAACGGUCCUAAGGUAGCGAAAUUCCUUGUCGGGUAAGUUCCGACCCGCACGAAAGGCGCAACGAUCUGGGCACUGUCUCAACGAGAGACUCGGUGAAAUUAUAGUACCUGUGAAGAUGC